CGCUGGCGGCAGGCCUAACACAUGCAAGUCGAACGAUAAGCCACCUUCGGGUGGUGGACAGUGGCAGACGGGUGAGUAACGCGUGGGAACGUGCCUUUCGGUUCGGAAUAACCCAGGGAAACUUGGGCUAAUACCGGAUACGCCCUUCGGGGGAAAGAUUCAUUGCCGAAAGAUCGGCCCGCGUCGGAUUAGCUAGUUGGUGGGGUAAUGGCUCACCAAGGCGACGAUCCGUAGCUGGUCUGAGAGGAUGACCAGCCACACUGGGACUGAGACACGGCCCAGACUCCUACGGGAGGCAGCAGUGGGGAAUAUUGGACAAUGGGCGCAAGCCUGAUCCAGCCAUGCCGCGUGGGUGAAGAAGGCCUUAGGGUUGUAAACCCCUUUCAGCGGGGAAGAUAAUGACGGUACCCGCAGAAGAAGUCCCGGCUAACUCCGUGCCAGCAGCCGCGGUAAUACGGAGGGGACUAGCGUUGUUCGGAAUUACUGGGCGUAAAGCGCACGUAGGCGGAUUUGUAAGUCAGGGGUGAAAUCCCGGGGCUCAACCUCGGAACUGCCUUUGAUACUGCAAAUCUCGAGUCCGGAAGAGGUGAGUGGAAUUCCUAGUGUAGAGG
Molecule: ribosomal RNA, 611 nt
Filed under: uncultured soil bacterium
Lineage: Bacteria
Description: bacterial SSU rRNA
Rfam family: Bacterial small subunit ribosomal RNA
Source: RNAcentral